GGGUUGGUGGAGUGUGGUCUAAACCGUUGGUUUUCGACCACUACGACCCGGGUUCGAUUCCCGCAUUGGGCA
Molecule: non-coding RNA, 72 nt
Organism: Cordylochernes scorpioides
Lineage: Eukaryota; Metazoa; Arthropoda; Arachnida; Pseudoscorpiones; Chernetidae
Source: the annotation of a GenBank genome assembly